AGCCGGUGAUGAAUCUUUAAUUUUCUGACACCUCGUAUGAGAGCUGCACUGUAGCUCCUGAUUCCAGCGCUGUUCUGAGGCUC
Small nucleolar RNA from Mugil cephalus (flathead mullet), 83 nucleotides. RefSeq annotates it as small nucleolar RNA SNORD60. NCBI's taxonomy places the organism in Eukaryota, Metazoa, Chordata, Actinopteri, Mugiliformes, Mugilidae. The record is from RefSeq and is a predicted model, not a curated record. The transcript has a single exon.